GGCUCAGUGGCGCAAUGGUUGACGCGCUAGAUUUAGGUUCUAGUUUCUUCGGAUGUGUGGGUUCGAGUCCCACCUGGGCUAC
RNAcentral lists this transfer RNA (82 nucleotides) under Microbacterium phage Cece. RNAcentral describes it as "tRNA-Leu". It matches the Rfam family "tRNA". Rfam says of the family: Transfer RNA (tRNA) molecules are approximately 80 nucleotides in length. Their secondary structure includes four short double-helical elements and three loops (D, anti-codon, and T loops). Further hydrogen bonds mediate the characteristic L-shaped molecular structure. tRNAs have two regions of fundamental functional importance: the anti-codon, which is responsible for specific mRNA codon recognition, and the 3' end, to which the tRNAs corresponding amino acid is attached (by aminoacyl-tRNA synthetases). tRNAs cope with the degeneracy of the genetic code in two manners: having more than one tRNA (with a specific anti-codon) for a particular amino acid; and 'wobble' base-pairing, i.e. permitting non-standard base-pairing at the 3rd anti-codon position. Lineage: Duplodnaviria; Heunggongvirae; Uroviricota; Caudoviricetes. The record is from RNAcentral.